CAGACUUUAAAGUUCAGCCCUCUACUUUCCCCUAGGUUAUUAAAAUGACAAAAACCUCUCCUUUAAGCAACAUUAAGAUUCACACAUCUAAGCUUUCCUCUUCACAGCGAAAAGCAAUGCUGUCUGGAUCUAAAGAGGUAGAAGUAGGGCUGGAGAGAUGGCUCAGAGGUUGGGAGAGCGCUGAUUGCUCUUCCAGAGGUCCUGAGUUCAAUUCCCAGCAACCACAUGGUGGCUCACAACCACCUGCGAUGAGAUCUGGUGCCCUCUUCUGGUGUGCAGGCAUGCAUGGGGGCAGAAUGUUGUAUACAUAGUAAAUAAAUAAAUCUUAAAAAAAAAAGUAGAAUGGGAAAAGGAUGAGAACCAUGGCUGCUAGCUGUGAGCAUCCCGCCGAGCCAACGGUAAUAUAGCUAGCAAGCAGGGUGACUUGGGAAUUGGUCUGUGGUCUGCACAAGCAGUGUAUCAGAGUGUAAGCUGCCUGUUAGAACCCGACUUUGUAGAUCUUGCCAGUCCUCAGGUGUGCCCCAACACUCAAAGAAAGGAUGCUUUAUCCUUUUGAGAAUACAAACAUAGAGCAAAGGAUUACCAGUAUACAAUCCACACUGCCAGAGGAGCUAGGAAACAAGGACGACCCCAAGAGAAGAUUGCAUAGUCCCUCGAAGAAGAGCCUUCAUCCAGUUGCUGUUUGAAGCAGAAACAGGCACCCACAGCUAAGCACUGAACCAUACUCCUGGAAUCCAGUUGUCGAGAGGGAGGAGGGAUGAGCAAAGGAGCCAAGAUGGUGCUGCAGAAACCCACAGAAACAGUUGACCUGACCUAGUGAGAGCAUGGAGACUCUAGUCAUAAAGCUGGGGAAAUAGCAUUGGACCAAACCAAG
This 874-nucleotide long non-coding RNA is filed under the name Cricetulus griseus (Chinese hamster). Its description in RNAcentral is "lncRNA (ENSCGRG00015032104.1)". The record is from RNAcentral. Lineage: Eukaryota; Metazoa; Chordata; Mammalia; Rodentia; Cricetidae.